RNAcentral lists this ribosomal RNA (372 nucleotides) under uncultured organism. Its description in RNAcentral is "bacterial SSU rRNA". It matches the Rfam family "Bacterial small subunit ribosomal RNA", at positions 526 to 896 of the family's 1533-position model. The record is from RNAcentral.
CGGGGGGGGCAAGCGUUGUUCGGAAUUACUGGGCGUAAAGGGCUCGUAGGCGGCCAACUAAGUCCGACGUGAAAUCCCCAGGCUCAACCUGGGAACUGCGUCGGAUACUGGAUGGCUUGAAUUCGGGAGAGAGAUGCAGAAUUCCAGGUGUAGCGGUGAAAUGCGUAGAUAUCUGGAGGAAUACCGGUGGCGAAGGCGGCAUCCUGGACCGACAUUGACGCUGAGGAGCGAAAGCUAGGGGAGCAAACGGGAUUAGAUACCCCGGUAGUCCUAGCCCUAAACGAUGAAUGCUUGGUGUGGCGGGUAUCGAUCCCUGCCGUGCCGAAGCUAACGCAUUAAGCAUUCCGCCUGGGGAGUACGGUCGCAAGGCUG